CCUACGGGAGGCAGCAGUGGGGAAUAUUGCGCAAUGGGGGAAACCCUGACGCAGCACCGCCGCGUGAGGGAUGAAGGUUUUCGGUUGGUACACUCCUUUUGUCAGGGCAGAUUAAAAGACGGUACCUCAUGAAUAAGCCACGUCUAACUACGUGCCAGCAGCCGCGGUAAUACGGAGGUUGCAAGCGUUUUCCGGAUUUACUGGGUGUAAAGGUCGUGUGGGCGGGUUUACAAGUCAGAGGUGAAACCCUGCGGCUAAACCGAUGAACUGCAUUUGAAAGUGUGGAUGUUGUGUGUUGGAGAGGAAGGCGGAAUUCCGAGUGUAGCGGUGAAAUGCGUAGAUAUUAGGAGGAACACCAGUGGCGAAGGCGGCCUGCUGGACAAUAACUGACGGUGAGGAGCGAAAGCGUGGGGAGCAAACAGGAUUAGAUACCCCUGUAGUC
RNAcentral lists this ribosomal RNA (442 nucleotides) under uncultured bacterium. Its description in RNAcentral is "partial 16S ribosomal RNA". It matches the Rfam family "Bacterial small subunit ribosomal RNA", at positions 338 to 795 of the family's 1533-position model. The record is from RNAcentral.